Molecule: long non-coding RNA, 1035 nt
Filed under: Marmota monax (woodchuck)
Lineage: Eukaryota; Metazoa; Chordata; Mammalia; Rodentia; Sciuridae
Source: RNAcentral
AAUGUUGGGAGUUCUUCUUGUUCAGUAAUCACAUGGCCAGCAAGUUGACUUGGGGAUAUUAGAUCAUUGAGCUCACCCUGUGGUCCCUUGUUAUGCUGGAAGAACACUGAGUACCCAGAUGUAUUUAAGAACACAGCCCUCUCCAGAGAAUAUUCCAGCUGAGCUUUUGGUAUUUUUAACAAUUUUGAACCCUGUAAUUUAGAGCCAGCCCUUGGCUGACGCAGAAGAGUUUGCUCAUUGUCAUAAAGCAUCCUGUUAAAUUGCCUAUGUUGUUUGUUUUCCUAAUAAUUAAAAAAAUAAUAAUUUGGUACAGUAUCAAAAUGUGAAAGUGCUUUUGAAAGCUAUUUAACAAAAAAACACCUAAUACUAUUCUCUUGUUGUGGUACUGGAGAUUGAGCCCAAGGGUGCUUUACCACUCAGCUAUGUCCCCAUCCCUUUUUGAGAUAGGGCCUCACUAAGUUGCUAAGGGUCUCACUAAAUUGCCCAGGUGGGCCUUUAACUUGUGAUCCUCCUGAGUCGUUGGGAUUACAGGUGUGCACCACUGUGCUUGGUUAAUACCUAAUACAAUCAAUAAGAUCUUUGAAAAGGAAAUUAGAAAUAGUGUCUAACAAAAUUCAGCGCCCCCCCCCCUUUUUCCAGUGUCUAUUACUGUCCUUAUGCUUUGCUUCUGAUUAGACCAUAAAUCUUAGCCUAAUUCAGAUUCUCCAGAGAAUUACAGAAGCUAGAUCAGGUUUAGACUCCUUUACAGAUUCAUGUUUGGGGUUGUUUUGUUUGUUUGUUUGUUUGUUUUUUUGCCUUCUUCAAAACAGCUCCAUCUUAUGAGCCUGAGCAGGUCUCCAUGCCAGUUUAGAGUGGGGUGGUGAUGAGUUUAUAAGGUACAGUGGACUUCCUAUGAGUGCCAUGCAUGGGUUUGGAAGUCCUGUAAAUGAACAUGGUGAACCUUAGAGUGAGGUUCAAGGGAAAAGGAGGGUGUAAGUGUCAGCUAAACAUCGAUGUGGCCGACCCAGAAUAAUAGGGUGUCAUGGCAAUCCUAAC